Molecule: ribosomal RNA, 253 nt
Filed under: uncultured bacterium
Lineage: Bacteria
Description: partial 16S ribosomal RNA
Rfam family: Bacterial small subunit ribosomal RNA
Source: RNAcentral
UACGUAGGUGGCAAGCGUUAUCCGGAUUUAUUGGGCGUAAAGGGAACGCAGGCGGUCUUUUAAGUCUGAUGUGAAAGCCUUCGGCUUAACCGGAGUAGUGCAUUUGAAACUGUUGGUCUUGAGUAUCGGAGAGGCAGGCGGAAUUCCUAGUGUAGCGGUGAAAUGCGUAGAUAUUAGGAGGAACACCAGUGGCGAAGGCGGCCUGCUGGACGACAACUGACGGUGAGGCGCGAAAGCGUGGGGAGCAAACAGG